UAAAAUGGCUGAGUUAGGCAAUAAAUUGUAAAUUUAUUAACGAAUAAAUUAUUCUUUUACCA
This 62-nucleotide transfer RNA is filed under the name Mimastra limbata. Its description in RNAcentral is "tRNA-Tyr". The record is from RNAcentral. Lineage: Eukaryota; Metazoa; Arthropoda; Insecta; Coleoptera; Chrysomelidae.